CCUGUCACUUAGAGAUGAAGCUCGCAUUCUAUCAGCUUUGUUGGUGAGGUAACGGCUCACCAAGGCUAUUGACGGAUAGCUAGUCUGAGAGGAUGUUUAGCCACACUGGGACUGAGACACUGCCCAGACUCCUACGGGAGGCUGCAGUCGAGAAUCUUUAGCAAUGGACGAAAGUCUGACUAUGCGACGCCGCGUGAGGGAUGAAGGUCUUCGGGUCGUAAACCUCUUUCGACAGGGAAGAAACCUCUUGAUGUGAAUAGCAUCAGGAAUUGACGGUACCUGAAGAAGAAGCCACGGCUAGCUCCGUGCCAGCAGCCGCGGUAAUACGGAGGUGGCGAGCGUUACUCGGAUUCAUUGGGUGUAAAGGGCAGGUAGGCGGUUCUGAAAGUCGAAUGUGAAAUCUUCUCGCUUAACGAGAAAACUGCAUUCGAAACUUCAGGGCUUGAGACCGAAAGAAGAGAAUGGAAUUCCCGGCGUAAGGGUGAAAUCUGUAGAGAUCGGGAGGAACACCAGUGGCGAAAGCGAUUCUCUAGUUCGGUUCUGACGCUGAACUGCGAAAGUCUAGGGGAGCAAACAGGAUUAGAUACCCUGGUAGUCCUAGCCGUAAACGAUGAGCACUAGGUGUUGGUUCGAUAGAAUCAGCGCCUGCUAGCUAACGCACUAAGUGCUCCACCUG
This 676-nucleotide ribosomal RNA is filed under the name uncultured Omnitrophica bacterium. Its description in RNAcentral is "bacterial SSU rRNA". It matches the Rfam family "Bacterial small subunit ribosomal RNA", at positions 211 to 875 of the family's 1533-position model. Lineage: Bacteria; Pseudomonadati; Candidatus Omnitrophota. The record is from RNAcentral.